GACGAACGCUGGCGGCGUGCUUAACACAUGCAAGUCGAACGGAAAGGCCCUGCUUUUGUGGGGUGCUCGAGUGGCGAACGGGUGAGUAACACGUGAGUAACCUGCCCUUGACUUUGGGAUAACUUCAGGAAACUGGGGCUAAUACCGGAUAGGAGCUCCUGCUGCAUGGUGGUGGUUGGAAAGUUUCGGCGGUUGGGGAUGGACUCGCGGCUUAUCAGCUUGUUGGUGGGGUAGUGGCUUACCAAGGCUUUGACGGGUAGCCUGCCUGAGAGGGUGAACGGCCACAUUGGGCCUGAGAGACGGCCCAGAAUCCUACGGGAGGCAGCAGUGGGGAAUAUUGCGCAAUGGGCGGGAGCCUGAUGCAGCAACGCCGCGUGCGGGAUGACGGCCUUCGGGUUGUAAACCGCUUUCGCCUGUGACGAAGCGUGAGUGACGGUAAUGGGUAAAGAAGCACCGGCUAACUACGUG
Molecule: ribosomal RNA, 468 nt
Filed under: uncultured bacterium
Lineage: Bacteria
Description: partial 16S ribosomal RNA
Rfam family: Bacterial small subunit ribosomal RNA
Source: RNAcentral